CAAUAGCGUAUAUUAAAGUUGUUGCGGUUAAAAAGCUCGUAGUUGGAGUUCUGCCAGGUGCCGCCUGUCCGCCCCAGUGGUGAGUACGUGGCGCGCAUUUGGCCCUUUCAAGGGGAGCGUAUCUGCACUUUAUUGUGUGGUGCGGGAUCCUUGACUUUUACUUUGAGGAAAUAGGAGUGUUCCAAGCAGGCUCUCGUCGUGCACAGCUCAGCAUGGAAUAAUAGCAUUGGACCUCGAUUCUAAGCUGUUGGUUGCCAGAAGCGAGGUAAUGAUGAAGAGGGAUAGUUGGGGGCAUUCGUAUUUAACUGUCAGAGGUGAAAUUCUUGGAUUUGUUAAAGACGGAUUACUGCGAAAGCAUCUGCCAUGGAUGUUUUCAUUGA
This 380-nucleotide ribosomal RNA is filed under the name uncultured eukaryote. Its description in RNAcentral is "partial 18S ribosomal RNA". It matches the Rfam family "Eukaryotic small subunit ribosomal RNA", at positions 592 to 976 of the family's 1831-position model. The record is from RNAcentral.